UGGGAAUUUGGACAAUGGGCGAAAGCCUGAUCCAGCAAUGCCGCGUGUGUGAAGAAGGCCUUCGGGUUGUAAAGCACUUUUGUCCGGAAAGAAAUCCUUGGCUCUAAUACAGUCGGGGGAUGACGGUACCGGAAGAAUAAGCACCGGCUAACUACGUGCCAGCAGCCGCGGUAAUACGUAGGGUGCAAGCGUUAAUCGGAAUUACUGGGCGUAAAGCGUGCGCAGGCGGUUUGCUAAGACCGAUGUGAAAUCCCCGGGCUCAACCUGGGAACUGCAUUGGUGACUGGCAGGCUAGAGUAUGGCAGAGGGGGGUAGAAUUCCACGUGUAGCAGUGAAAUGCGUAGAGAUGUGGAGGAAUACCGAUGGCGAAGGCAGCCCCCUGGGCCAAUACUGACGCUCAUGCACGAAAGCGUGGGGAGCAAAACAGGAUUAGAUACCCUGGUAGUCCACGCCCUAAACGAUGUCAACUAGUUGUUGGGGAUUCAUUUCCUUAGUAACGUAGCUAACGCGUGAAGUUGACCGCCUGGGGAGUACGGUCGCAAGAUUAAAACUCAAAUGAAUUGACGGGGUCAU
RNAcentral lists this ribosomal RNA (573 nucleotides) under uncultured bacterium. RNAcentral's name for it is "partial 16S ribosomal RNA". It matches the Rfam family "Bacterial small subunit ribosomal RNA", at positions 357 to 922 of the family's 1533-position model. The record is from RNAcentral.